UACGUAGGACCCAAGCGUUAUCCGGAAUUACUGGGCGUAAAGAGUUGCGUAGGUGGCAUAGCAAGCAAAUAGUGAAAGCGUGUGGCUCAACCACAUACCCAUUAUUUGAACUGCUAAGCUAGAGCACGAAAGAGGUACCUGGAAUUCUCAGUGUAGGAGUGAAAUCCGUAGAUAUUGGGAGGAACACCGAUGGCGUAGGCAGGGUACUGGUUCGUUGCUGACACUAAGGCACGAAAGCGUGGGGAGCGAAUGGG
RNAcentral lists this ribosomal RNA (254 nucleotides) under uncultured bacterium. RNAcentral's name for it is "partial 16S ribosomal RNA". It matches the Rfam family "Bacterial small subunit ribosomal RNA", at positions 524 to 776 of the family's 1533-position model. The record is from RNAcentral.